This is a long non-coding RNA of Oreochromis niloticus (Nile tilapia), 303 nucleotides long. RefSeq lists it as uncharacterized. The transcript has 3 exons. The record is from RefSeq and is a predicted model, not a curated record. NCBI's taxonomy places the organism in Eukaryota, Metazoa, Chordata, Actinopteri, Cichliformes, Cichlidae.
UGACUAGUUAUUUCAUCUCACAGUAAAUUGGAUUGUGUGUGAAGAGGUUCAACAGUGUAAGUCAUUAAACAGUGAUCUGAUGUGUUGUUUCCUUUCUCUAGGAUACUGAUCUGGUCGUCGCAAGUCUGAGUGAACAGAUCUUUGGCUUUGCCUUUGCUGGUGACCUGCUGCAGAAGAUCCUCUCUCUCUAUCAUUAUAAGCAAUUCUGUCUAUCCUAUCACUCUCCCAACUCUAUCUAAUUUGACAGCCAUUCUAUCUUGUAUCCCUCUCUCUACUGCUCUAUCUAAUUUGACAGCCAUUCUA